Molecule: non-coding RNA, 28 nt
Filed under: Mus musculus (house mouse)
Lineage: Eukaryota; Metazoa; Chordata; Mammalia; Rodentia; Muridae
Source: RNAcentral
UUUAGCAAUGCACCACCCAUGGCCCCAC